UUUGAUUUUCGCCAAUACGGAGAUUCAAUGGAUCCGGUCGGACAAGGAUUACGCAAUUGCUUCUCGAAGAAGAGGACAACGAUCUAAGAGAACAAUAAAG
This is a long non-coding RNA of Polistes canadensis, 100 nucleotides long. RefSeq lists it as uncharacterized. The record is from RefSeq and is a predicted model, not a curated record. The transcript has 3 exons. NCBI's taxonomy places the organism in Eukaryota, Metazoa, Arthropoda, Insecta, Hymenoptera, Vespidae.